This 76-nucleotide transfer RNA is filed under the name Shinkaia crosnieri. RNAcentral describes it as "tRNA-Val". Lineage: Eukaryota; Metazoa; Arthropoda; Malacostraca; Decapoda; Munidopsidae. The record is from RNAcentral.
CAAAAUAAAGCUUAAUUAUCCCUAAGCAUCUCAUUUACAUCGAGAAGAAUAAUUGUGAAAAUCAAUUUAUUUUGAA